Molecule: transfer RNA, 73 nt
Filed under: Ailuropoda melanoleuca (giant panda)
Lineage: Eukaryota; Metazoa; Chordata; Mammalia; Carnivora; Ursidae
Rfam family: tRNA
About the family: Transfer RNA (tRNA) molecules are approximately 80 nucleotides in length. Their secondary structure includes four short double-helical elements and three loops (D, anti-codon, and T loops).
Source: Rfam by way of RNAcentral
GCCUGACUGGCUCAGUUGGGGGAAUAUGGGACUCCUGAUCUCAGGGUUGUGGGUUUAAACCCUACGUUGGGUG